GUGUCAGCCGCCGCGGUAAGACGAACCGUGCGAACGUUAUUCGGAAUAACUGGGCUUAAAGGGAGCGUAGGCGGGCUAUCAAGUCUGGGGUGAAAUCCCACGGCUCAACCGUGGAACUGCCUUAGAUACUGACGGCCUCGAGGGAGAUAGGGGCAUGCGGAACUGUAGGUGGAGCGGUGAAAUGCGUUGAUAUCUACAGGAACUCCGGUGGCGAAAGCGGCGUGCUGGAUCUCUUCUGACGCUGAGGCUCGAAAGCUAGGGGAGCAAACGGGAUUAGAAACCCUGGUAGUCC
Molecule: ribosomal RNA, 292 nt
Filed under: uncultured bacterium
Lineage: Bacteria
Description: partial 16S ribosomal RNA
Rfam family: Bacterial small subunit ribosomal RNA
Source: RNAcentral